UACGUAGGGUGCAAGCGUUGUCCGGAUUUAUUGGGCGUAAAGAGCUCGUAGGCGGUUAGUCACGUCGGAUGUGAAAUCCCGGAGCUCAACUCCGGGCCUGCAUUCGAUACUGGCUGACUCGAGUGUUGUAGGGGAGACUGGAACUCCUGGUGUAGCGGUGAAAUGCGCAGAUAUCAGGAAGAACACCGGUGGCGAAGGAGGGUCUCUGGGCAACUACUGACGCUGAGGAGCGAAAGCGUGGGGAGCAAACAGGAUUAGAUGCCCUGGUAGUCCACGCCGUAAACGGUGGGCGCUAGGUGUGGGGAACAUACCACGUUCUCUGCGCCGCAGCUAACGCAUUAAGCGCCCCGCCUGGGGAGUACGGCCGCAAGGCUA
Molecule: ribosomal RNA, 375 nt
Filed under: uncultured prokaryote
Description: bacterial SSU rRNA
Rfam family: Bacterial small subunit ribosomal RNA
Source: RNAcentral